RNAcentral lists this ribosomal RNA (433 nucleotides) under uncultured bacterium. RNAcentral's name for it is "partial 16S ribosomal RNA". It matches the Rfam family "Bacterial small subunit ribosomal RNA", at positions 29 to 507 of the family's 1533-position model. The record is from RNAcentral.
AACGAACGCUGGCGGCAUGCCUAACACAUGCAAGUCGAACGAGACCUUCGGGUCUAGUGGCGCACGGGUGCGUAACGCGUGGGAACCUGCCCUUAGGUUCGGAAUAACUCCCCGAAAGGGGUGCUAAUACCGGAGAAUGUCUUCGGACCAAAGAUUGAUCGCCUUUGGAUGGGCCCGCGUUGGAUUAGCUAGUUGGUAGGGUAAAAGCCUACCAAGGCGACGAUCCAUAGCUGGUCUGAGAGGAUGAUCAGCCACACUGGGACUGAGACACGGCCCAGACUCCUACGGGAGGCAGCAGUGGGGAAUAUUGGACAAUGGGCGAAAGCCUGAUCCAGCAAUGCCGCGUGAGUGAUGAAGGCCUUAGGGUUGUAAAGCUCUUUUACCCGGGAUGAUAAUGACAGUACCGGGAGAAUAAGCUCCGGCUAACUCCGUG